This 407-nucleotide ribosomal RNA is filed under the name uncultured bacterium. RNAcentral describes it as "partial 16S ribosomal RNA". It matches the Rfam family "Bacterial small subunit ribosomal RNA", at positions 28 to 526 of the family's 1533-position model. The record is from RNAcentral.
GACGAACGCUGGCGGCAGGCCUAACACAUGCAAGUCGAGCGGAGCGGCGGACGGGUGAGGAAUGCCUAGGAAUCUGCCUGGUAGUGGGGGAUAACGUCCGGAAACGGGCGCUAAUAUCGCAUACUAUCAGAUGAGCCUAGGUCGGAUUCGCUAGUGGGUGGGGUAAAGGCCUACCAAGGCGAGGAUCCGUAACGGGUCUGAGAGGAUGAUCAGUCACACGGGAACGGAGACACGGUCCAGACCCCUACGGGAGGAAGCAGUGGGGAAUAUUGGACAAUGGGCGAAAGCCUGAUCCAGCCAUGCGGCGUGUGUGAAGAAGGUCUUCGGAUUGUAAAGCACUUUAAGUUGGGAGGCGUUACCAACAGAAUAAGCACCGGCUAACUUCGUGCCAGCAGCCGCGGUAAUUC